GGCUGCACUUACAGACCUUUUCUUCCAUCACACAGCCCUGGGUUCCAGGCACUGCUCCUGAACUCUUUUUCAUGAUCUUGAUACUCAGGCUUCACCAUCAGAUAAACACAUUUCUGAAUAACGCUGAGUCACUGUGCUAAUUGAAAAAGCACACUUAAUCCAUCACAAAACUGAGAGAAGAGGUAUCCACAGGAACAUUAUCAGUCAGCUGCCACUGACUUUGGAAUCCUGGAAAAGAAGACAAAACCUUAAUUUACUGAAUAAAGACAGUGAUC
Molecule: long non-coding RNA, 275 nt
Filed under: Anser cygnoides (Swan goose)
Lineage: Eukaryota; Metazoa; Chordata; Aves; Anseriformes; Anatidae
Description: lncRNA (ENSACDG00005017733.1)
Source: RNAcentral